UGGUGGGAAAUUCCUUGAUUAUGCCAAUAUCGCCUAGGGAUAGGGGUAGGAUGGUCAAUUGUAGUUGCUUCCGAUCGCAUUGCAUUAUUGGUUACUAGGGGAGGCUAGGGAUAACAAGUCGGUAAUUAAUAAUAGGCUCUUUUCACCAAGGGAUUGCGUUAAGGGUAAAUAAGAAAGUGUGCAUGGCAAGUAGAUAAAUAAGUGAAGUAAAUAAGAAGAAUAGAUAUAUGAGAGUGGAUAAGAUGAAAUUGUAAACCCCAACAACACCAUUCAUCCAAAGUUUCUCAAAACCAAUUGAAUCAACUGCAUUGCAUGUUUAUUUUUUUUCUUCUCAUAUAACCACCAAAUUUAUUC
This 354-nucleotide long non-coding RNA is filed under the name Vigna radiata. Its description in RNAcentral is "long non-coding RNA (VRAD_LNC014055)". The record is from RNAcentral. Lineage: Eukaryota; Viridiplantae; Streptophyta; Magnoliopsida; Fabales; Fabaceae.